RNAcentral lists this unclassified non-coding RNA (1719 nucleotides) under Megachile rotundata (alfalfa leafcutting bee). Its description in RNAcentral is "chaoptin-like, transcript variant X2". Lineage: Eukaryota; Metazoa; Arthropoda; Insecta; Hymenoptera; Megachilidae. The record is from RNAcentral.
GCAGAUUUCAUCAAUAAACAAGAUGGAUUUCACAUUUCAAUUACGCGCCAAAACAUCUGUAUGUUUAUAUAUCAAUACACGUUCACGCUAAAACAUAGGUUAGAAGUCAACGUACCGUCGCGUCGACGCACAGAAUUUUCCGUGUCAAGCCAAUUAAAGUUCAAUCAAUGUUAAUUAAAGUGUAUACCUAAUGUUAAUUAAAGAUAAAUCCCAAUAAAAUAUAUCACGGUUUCUAUGAUUUCUAUCCGCGAACGAUUAUACUGCGCAGAGAUCACAAUCGUCGAGAAGAAUCGGUUAUAUGUUAAUGUGCGAUCCAGGUGUCCGCUUACCAAUCUCCUGACAAGAUUAAUUUACGGUUUUGCUCGGUGUAUCGCGCUAAUUAACGAGCGAAGAUAACGAUGCAUCUACGAAGUAUAACGUGGAAUAAUCGUGAACAUAAUAAACUCUCUCAUCAGUGUAAUUGCUGCUUAAGUGACAAUGCUGUGAAAAUACUUUUUCACUUUAUUAUGAAACACUUCUGAAUCGCAUUCCGUAGCUUCAUUUAGAUUCCAGAUGCAAGAUUGUUGCUUGGAACACUUUCAUAUUUUAUCGUGCAUAUAUUGCAAUAUACAGGGUGGAACAUACUGCUUGGGAAAUCUUUUAUAUUGUUCGGUAUCCGUAUAAUGUUUGCUCUUAUUUUGUUCUUCGAUAACCAGAUUUUUAGAUAGAAUUGUUUGUGCGCGUUAAUUGUAACAUCGCUGCAACAUUGCGUUACAGGUUAGGUUCCACAGAUGACUUUCCUCUUAAAAGUAAACCUCACUUUCAAUUAAAAUAUUGAAAUUAAUAAUUUAAGAAAAUUUUCUUGUUAAAUAUUAUGUUAUAAAUUUCGCGUAAAAUGUCUUACGAUUAUCCAAUUAUCUACAAGCUUUUCGAUGGAGUGAAAGAACUUCCGUACGUUUCAUUAGAUUUCUUUUGAUACAUUGAAGAGAAUUUACAUUUUACAUGGAAAUAAGAAAUAAACAGCACUGUUCCACUUGACAAUGCACACUCGUUCGAAUAAUAGAAAUUUAAUGAAGAAAAGGGAUUGAUUUACUCAGUCGCGGUCGAUUCUACGUUCCGUUCGGUGGAUCGAUCGACCAUCCGUAAAAAUUUCACCGACGUUCCAGAUUUUCGCAACGCAAAUGAACGGUCGAUUAUCGAUUGCUCCGCGACCGGUGAAAUCGAUUCUCAAGAUCGCCUAUUAAGGGGAGAACGUAAUUAUUCUGUCGAUUAUAUAGUCGGCGGAUAUCGGCCGCGACGCGUGUUCCUCUUUUUUUUUUUCUUCCCUCUUUUGUCUUUUCAAACGCCACGCUUCGUUCGUCGUUCUUUCUCUUCCCCCGUGUUACAUAAACGGUGGUUUUACGAAAUUUCUUUGUGUUCGUCCCGUUUUUAGACUCGUUAGGAACUUCGGUUCCUGUUAUCGAACACGGUGAGUUCUUUUCAAAUAUUUGCUGGUUUGUUGACGGGUCUUUCAACACCUUGAACGUUGCGAGGGUCAUUUAGGAGCGUAUUGAGAUUUUUAGAGAGCUAACGUUUCUAAUGAAAGAUUUUGGUGAAGCUGUGUUGGAAUUUGGUGUAUUGGUGGAAUUUGGAAGAUUGAAAAUUUUUUGUUAAGAUGUUAGAAUUUAUGUAGGUAUUUGCAAGAUUUUACUGUUAUUUAUUACUGUCUAUUGUUAUGUAUAAAAUAAUAUAUUAUGAUAU